UACGGAGGGCGCAAGCGUUGUUCGGAAUCACUGGGCGUAAAGCGCGUGUAGGCGGCUUGGCAAGUCGGGUGUGAAAGCCCGGAGCUCAACUCCGGAACUGCAUUCGAAACUGCCUCGCUCGAGUCCCGGAGAGGGUGGUGGAAUUCCCGGUGUAGAGGUGAAAUUCGUAGAUAUCGGGAGGAACACCAGUGGCGAAGGCGGCCACCUGGACGGUGACUGACGCUGAGACGCGAAAGUGUGGGGAGCAAACAGG
This 253-nucleotide ribosomal RNA is filed under the name uncultured bacterium. RNAcentral's name for it is "partial 16S ribosomal RNA". It matches the Rfam family "Bacterial small subunit ribosomal RNA", at positions 524 to 776 of the family's 1533-position model. The record is from RNAcentral.